This 497-nucleotide ribosomal RNA is filed under the name uncultured bacterium. RNAcentral's name for it is "partial 16S ribosomal RNA". It matches the Rfam family "Bacterial small subunit ribosomal RNA", at positions 28 to 507 of the family's 1533-position model. The record is from RNAcentral.
GAUGAACGCUGGCGGCGUGCCUAAUACAUGCAAGUCGAGCGAACAGACGAGGAGCUUGCUCCCCUGACGUUAGCGGCGGACGGGUGAGUAACACGUGGAUAACCUACCUAUAAGACUGGGAUAACUUCGGGAAACCGGAGCUAAUACCGGAUAAUAUAUUGAACCGCAUGGUUCAAUAGUGAAAUACGGUUUUGCUGUCACUUAUAGAUGGAUCCGCGCCGCAUUAGCUAGUUGGUAAGGUAACGGCUUACCAAGGCAACGAUGCGUAGCCGACCUGAGAGGGUGAUAGGCCACACUGGAACUGAGACACGGUCCAGACUCCUACGGGAGGCAGCAGUAGGGAAUCUUCCGCAAUGGGCGAAAGCAUGACGGAGCAACGCCGCGUGAGUGAUGAAGGUCUUCGGAUCGUAAAACUCUGUUAUUAGGGAAGAACAAAUGUGUAAGUAACUAUGCACGUCUUGACGGUACCUAAUCAGAAAGCCACGGCUAACUACGUG